GUGCUCACUUUGGCAGCACAUACACUAAAAUUGGAAUGAUACAGAGAAGAUUAGUAUAGCCCCUGAGCAAGGAUGACAUGCAAAUUCGAGGCCAUAAAAAAACACAA
RNAcentral lists this small nuclear RNA (107 nucleotides) under Sus scrofa (pig). The record is from RNAcentral. Lineage: Eukaryota; Metazoa; Chordata; Mammalia; Artiodactyla; Suidae.